Molecule: long non-coding RNA, 404 nt
Organism: Balaenoptera ricei (Rice's whale)
Lineage: Eukaryota; Metazoa; Chordata; Mammalia; Artiodactyla; Balaenopteridae
Exons: 3
Source: RefSeq, a predicted model, not a curated record
GUCACCUGCACGAAAAAGCCUUCAGCGUUGGAAGGGUAUCAAUAAUAUCUAAUGUCAACCGCUACUUUACAACAGUUAGGUCUAUUUGCCUACGGAGAGCGGAGGAAGUGACGUAUAAUAGCGGCGUCCUUGGCAGCGUGACGUUGCAAGAGAAGACACAGGUCUGGGAGCCAAGGAGCAGAAGCAGGAAUAACCACACUUACCAUCGCUUCUGAUGACCACCUGGAGGCCGUGUGCUCUUGUCUCCACACUUUGUACCCUGAGGUCUGUUCCUCACAGGAAGUGCACUUUUGUCCUUCGGCACAACAGGAAUCCCACUGAACUAUAAGGAGCUGAUUCCUGAUAAGUAUCUCACACCCCAAACUCUGUCUCACAUCUGCUUCAGGAGAAUCCAAACUGUUGAC